CUACGGGCGGCUCCAGUGGGGAAUAUUGCGCAAUGGGGGAAACCCUGACGCAGUGACGCCGUGUGAGUGAUGAAGGUUUUCGGAUCGUAAAGCUCUGUCAGACGGGAAGAAUAAGAACAGUAAAAAUAUUGCUGUUUGAUGACGGUACCGUCAGAGGAAGCACCGGCUAACUCCGUGCCAGCAGCCGCGGUAAUACGGGGGGUGCAAACGUUGUUCGGAAUUACUGGGCGUAAAGCGCAUGUAGGCGGAUAUGUAGGUCAGAUGUGAAAUCCCUUGGCUCAACCAAGGAAGUGCAUCUGAAACCCCAUAUCUUGAGUACGAGAGAGGGAAGUGGAAUUCCCAGUGUAGAGGUGAAAUUCAUAGAUAUUGGGAAGAACACCGGUGGCGAAGGCGGCUUUCUGGCUCGUAACUGACGCUGAGAUGCGAAAGCGUGGGGAGCAAACAGGAUUAGAUACCCCCGUAGUC
This 465-nucleotide ribosomal RNA is filed under the name uncultured bacterium. RNAcentral describes it as "partial 16S ribosomal RNA". It matches the Rfam family "Bacterial small subunit ribosomal RNA", at positions 339 to 795 of the family's 1533-position model. The record is from RNAcentral.